GCCGAGGUAGCUCAGUUGGUAGAGCGCGUGGCUGUUAACCACGUAGUCAUAGGUUCGAGUCCUAUCCUCGGCG
RNAcentral lists this transfer RNA (73 nucleotides) under Halorubrum virus Hardycor2. Its description in RNAcentral is "tRNA-Asx". It matches the Rfam family "tRNA". Rfam says of the family: Transfer RNA (tRNA) molecules are approximately 80 nucleotides in length. Their secondary structure includes four short double-helical elements and three loops (D, anti-codon, and T loops). Further hydrogen bonds mediate the characteristic L-shaped molecular structure. tRNAs have two regions of fundamental functional importance: the anti-codon, which is responsible for specific mRNA codon recognition, and the 3' end, to which the tRNAs corresponding amino acid is attached (by aminoacyl-tRNA synthetases). tRNAs cope with the degeneracy of the genetic code in two manners: having more than one tRNA (with a specific anti-codon) for a particular amino acid; and 'wobble' base-pairing, i.e. permitting non-standard base-pairing at the 3rd anti-codon position. Lineage: Duplodnaviria; Heunggongvirae; Uroviricota; Caudoviricetes; Thumleimavirales; Hafunaviridae. The record is from RNAcentral.